AGCCUAUUGACCUCCAUUAAUAUAAAGCAAUGGAGAAAAUAUGGUCAUUUCACAGAGUAAUGAUAAGUUAUGAAAAAGUCAAUAGCAUGCUAGAGAGUUAAGUAAAGGGGAGUUUUUUGGUGUUCUGUUUGGUUGUUUUAAAUGCUGCUUUGCUUUUCGUUUUUUUUUUUGUUGUUGUUGUUUGUUCGUUUUUUUUCUGGUUUGCCCCCUUCCCUCUUGGUGGGUUUAGAGGAGCAGGCUGGGAGAGAGAACUGAAGGAGCGGAGGUGGCCGGGCCCCAUCAAGUGUCAGGAGGGAAAGUCUCCGCUUUCUCGACACUGGAACACCACCUUCCUCGGCUCCUCCCGCGCUCCCUUCGGGAUAACUUACCACCUGAACUCAAGUUCAACUCCCUCCGGCGCCAGCGUGCUGGGGGGCUCCGCGGGGAUCCAGGGACACGGAACCCGGCAGAACUCCCGUCUGGAUGGAGGUCCGCACACUCCCGGAUCUUCACGCGCUGUCUCCACGCUCCUUGGCGGGCAGCGGCGCAGCGACCCUGGCGCCCGGCGGGGAAAAGGCGACAGAUGUCAGCGGCGUCCGGCCAGGAAGCUGAGGCGCUGCCUCGUCGCUCGCUGGCCCGCGCGGGGCUCAGAAUGAGAGGCUCGGCGAAGUGAGCGUUCUGCCCAUCAAUCUUCGUCCGCUUCCCCCCGUGACGCUCUCACGCUUAGCUGUUCAUGUUACCAUUCUUCUCCGGCCAAGGAACGAGCCCUGAGACGCCUCCACAGCACCUGAGGGGCAGUCCCGUCAAUCUCCCGCGCACGUACGGGGCACGGAGGGCGGCGACACCGAAGUCCGUGCCCGGCUCGGGAAGUGGCUGAGGACGCCCGGAGGACGAGCGGAAGGUAAAGACGCGCUGCGCUUGCACCGGGCCCGCCGGCUGCCGCCAGCCUUCCGCCGAGACGUCGCUGGUGCCUGCCACGUGCGGAGCCCGGAGCCGGGGAAGGGAGGGCGCGCCGCCCCGGGGGUGGGCAACUCUGCGUGGCCUCCAGCUGCUAUAUAAACACACUCGGACGCCGACGGGAAGAGCAGCACAAGGACGAGCCAGGAGGCUUCGGCUCCCCACUACGCGGAUCCUCCCUGUCUCUGCCCGGGUUUUCUUUUCGGGGGAGGGGCUGGGAGGUUGCUGGGGGGCCACCUCAGACCCACAGGGACCGCGGCUUUCCAGGCAUCUCACCCCAAAGGUGCCCGGCCAGAGAUUCCGGAAGAUACCGCGGCGGCCGCAGGCGGGUUCACCCAGGAUUCGUCAAUGGUGCCGGCCAGAGCGCCACCAGCCGCGCGUGGCGACCGCGGGAGGCGCAGGCGACCCGGGGUUGGGCCCGUCCCGCCGACAGGGGUUCCCCUGGGCCGCGCGCCCCGCCGCUCGGGCCAGUAUCUCCCUGGAGAAAGACAGAUCCGCGUGUGAAGAGUUAUGCCUGAAACUCCCCAUGUUAUAA
Molecule: long non-coding RNA, 1471 nt
Filed under: Oryctolagus cuniculus (rabbit)
Lineage: Eukaryota; Metazoa; Chordata; Mammalia; Lagomorpha; Leporidae
Description: lncRNA (ENSOCUG00000038175.1)
Source: RNAcentral